UGGGGUGUGGCUCAGUGGUAGAACGCUCGCUUCACAUGUGUGAGGCUCUGGGUUCAAUUCUCAGCACUGCAU
This 72-nucleotide transfer RNA is filed under the name Ictidomys tridecemlineatus (thirteen-lined ground squirrel). RNAcentral describes it as "Spermophilus tridecemlineatus (thirteen-lined ground squirrel) tRNA". It matches the Rfam family "tRNA". Rfam says of the family: Transfer RNA (tRNA) molecules are approximately 80 nucleotides in length. Their secondary structure includes four short double-helical elements and three loops (D, anti-codon, and T loops). Further hydrogen bonds mediate the characteristic L-shaped molecular structure. tRNAs have two regions of fundamental functional importance: the anti-codon, which is responsible for specific mRNA codon recognition, and the 3' end, to which the tRNAs corresponding amino acid is attached (by aminoacyl-tRNA synthetases). tRNAs cope with the degeneracy of the genetic code in two manners: having more than one tRNA (with a specific anti-codon) for a particular amino acid; and 'wobble' base-pairing, i.e. permitting non-standard base-pairing at the 3rd anti-codon position. The record is from Rfam by way of RNAcentral. Lineage: Eukaryota; Metazoa; Chordata; Mammalia; Rodentia; Sciuridae.